UACUAGGCCAAUACUAUUUUAAGUCCCGAUAAGCCCCGCAAUAUUUUGCCAGACAUUUUCUGCUCCAGUUUUGUUUCGUACAAACAUAUUUUUGCAACAUCAUGCCCCAAGUCUCCAGACCCCAACCCAAACCCAAACCACAAAUUACAAAGUAAAAUGCAAAGAAAUCGACAUUCACCGUCUGUAAUUUCAAGUGUUUGGCAUUGACAAUUUUUCGUUCCGAUUUUCAGGCAUAUCCAUGCCCGUCCCAUUGUUGAGGAAAUUGUGAAAACGCCAGGGAAUUGGGCAAGCAAAUUUCGUUUGUAUUUACCUCGACUUGGAGUACCUCGAAGAUGGAAAAGAUUUCGAGAGACAGUUAAUUAAACCGAAGUCAAGAUUGAGAGGGGAGGAGGGGACCCCGGCCUGAGGUGAUUGCCAAUUUUGUGGGAUGGUUUUGAUUGGCGAGACAAACAAGCGGCGACAGUGAAAGACAGAAACAAACUUCAAAUGUCGCAAUUUUGGCGGCGCCUUAAAUGUGACACGAAAAGCGACUAAACUCGGAUGCGUACCCGUUGGAAUCACUCGAAUGACUCACUGACCAACUGGGGAAUAUCGAAAUCGCUGCACUUGUCUCUCGCUUGGCUCUUAUCUUAUCGCCGACACAAGCGAAACAUGGCCAAAAUGAAGUGGAAAACUUAUCGCCCUUCCUCUGAUAAGACCCAACAGAUAGCUGAUGGAAUGACAGACCGUAUGUACCAUAUGUACCAUACGCAUGUAUGUAGCUGUGCAACGGGAAUGAGGUAAGCAGUUGUAGAAAUGCACCGAAAUUCACUCACUUCCACGAGGUAGAUCCCAGAUUGUGUGGAGUCAAAAUUAUUAGGCCAUAAAUACUUGCGGCAAAAUGUGACGCCCACUGCGCAUGCGCACACAUCUGAGACGAUGAAAUGGGGCAGACAGGGUAUGCCUGUAUAUACGGCUGCUAGAGAUACAUUAUCUUUCUCUGGGUACGACACUGAGUGGGCUUUUGACUUUCUGUUUGGCCGAUCUCUUGUCGAGUCAACAAAGCUUACACACAGAAAAGAGAAAAGGCUAAGGAAGCUACACCGAAUGUGGCAGCGGAGAAGAAUGCUGGUGCUGCGGACUGGGGAGAAGGUGCCAUCACAAGAAGGCUUUAACAAUUAGUCACCGUUGCGCAUUGAGCGCUUACAGAGCUCACUGAAAGAAGAUGGAGAAUACAACAAGGUGAAGGAUUAGCACUCCAGUCCGCCAGUAGAGCUCUAAAUAUCUACCUGUCCAUACCUCUCGGACAAAUCCAGCAACGAUUCUGCAAUUUUUCACAUUCUAAUUGCUCGUCAUCUCAUUAACCACAAUUCUUUUGUCUCCCCAGCCCACACCUCUAAACCCCCCCUCCCUCCUCUCCCUUGCCCGAAGAGCUGCCGGCUAAGAGGUUUUUAAUUAUGCUGCCUCCGCUAA
This 1452-nucleotide small RNA is filed under the name Drosophila pseudoobscura pseudoobscura. RNAcentral's name for it is "GA30865". Lineage: Eukaryota; Metazoa; Arthropoda; Insecta; Diptera; Drosophilidae. The record is from RNAcentral.